GUUCCCUCAACUCGAUUUCACAAGGAGAUAGCCCACACCCACAGGCGGAACCCUCCUCCAAACGCAAACCAGACCUGCGCGCGCCAGGCGGGCGGGCGGGCGGGGAAGCCACGCCUGCCCUGGGCUCCUCCAGAGUUUGGGGCAAAGGCUGACUCCGGGCCGGGCAGUGCUCCGUAUGCGGCAACACGGUGGCAGCAGACCGGGGUUGGCUGUCCCGGGGGCGGCCAGGGAAGACUGCAUGGAGGAGGCAGAAAGACAGAGAAAGGUCUCCCAGCUGCUCAUUCACUCCCCAAAUGCCCAGGGCUGGGCCCGGCUGGAGCCAGGAGCCAGCAACUCAGGGGACCCAAGGCCUGGAGCCUUCAACGCCCACUUCCCAGGAAGUGCCGCUAGCAGGAAGCCGGAUCAGAAGCAGAGCCAGGACUCCAACCCAGACACUGCUGCAUGCGACGUGGGCCUCCCGGGCAGCUCGAUCCUUGCGCCAAACAUCUGCCCACUGCCCUUUUCCAAGCCUGGCUGGCUUAGGGCGCCCAGACCCAGAAGAAUCGAGGCCGGCUGGCCAGCCCCUGCCAUCGGGAGAGGGCACCGUGGAGGCUCAGAGAGGAGGAGCAAGCCGGGGAGGCUUCCUGGAGGAGAGGGUCUGGACCAGGGCCUGGGGACCACAAAGGGUCAGGAGUGGUGGCACCGGUGAAGCUUGAGAGUCUUAGGAGAGCUGAGGAGGGAAGUCUGGGAGGCAAGGAGAGCACGAGUCAGGGGUCAAGGGUCAGGGCAGGCUGCCCCGCUGCUUGAGCCCAGGGGGCCCACGUGAUGUGGCCAGUGCCAGUGUCCAAGGGGCGGCCCAGGCAGGCCGGACUCUUCAGCUGGACAGAGACGCACCGUGGCAGGGGUGGGCUAAAGAUCUCUGGACUGGAGCGGAGGGAGGCCACUGCCUCGGGGCCUGGAGCCGGAGCAGCCCUGGCCCCGGGCAGGGGCUGGCUCAGGAAGGCCUGGGGUCAGGGCUUUCCUCCGCCCCUGCCCCAUGCCCCGUGUUUGCGUUCGAGUUGAUUAAACCCAAGGAAUUUUCGCGUCCUGGAUCAGAGGCCCACGUGCACCGCCUCCUGCCGUCUGUGGUUAUCAAAAUCCUCAGAGGGCCAAGUGCUGAGCCGGGAGGAGCGGGGGGAGCGGGGGAGGCCUGCAGCGUGGCCGGAAUCCUAGGAGCACCCGCAGGGCUCCCCAGGGCUCCCCCGGCCCCCAGCAGCCUGUGCAGCCUUCCUGAAGACCCUGCACCCUCGGGGCUGAACCUGGGACUUGUUGGCGCCGGGUACGGGUUGCAGCCAGAAGCCCCCAGACCCUGCGGCUCUCCGCCUCCCACCCCAGACCCCAGCUUGGGCUCUGAGUCCAUCCAGUGGCACCCCGGAAGCACAAACCUCAGCCAGACCUCAUCCCCGAGCACAGCGGGGAGCGCGCCAGGUGGGUGGGGUGGGGAGGGGUGGCCA
Molecule: non-coding RNA, 1472 nt
Organism: Oryctolagus cuniculus (rabbit)
Lineage: Eukaryota; Metazoa; Chordata; Mammalia; Lagomorpha; Leporidae
Source: RefSeq, a predicted model, not a curated record